This 539-nucleotide ribosomal RNA is filed under the name Levilactobacillus brevis. RNAcentral's name for it is "bacterial SSU rRNA". It matches the Rfam family "Bacterial small subunit ribosomal RNA", at positions 342 to 872 of the family's 1533-position model. Lineage: Bacteria; Bacillati; Bacillota; Bacilli; Lactobacillales; Lactobacillaceae. The record is from RNAcentral.
CGGGAGGCAGCAGUAGGGAAUCCUCCACCAUGGACGAAAGUCUGAUGGAGCUAUGCCGCGUGAGUGAAGAAGUGUUUCGGCUCGUAAWACUCUGUUGUUAAAGAAKAACACCUUUGAGAGUAACUGUUCAAGGGUUGACGGUAUUUAACCAGAAAGCCACGGCUAACUACGUGCCAGCAGCCGCGGUAAUACGUAGGUGGCAAGCGUUGUCCGGAUUUAUUGGGCGUAAAGCGAGCGCAGGCGGUUUUUUAAGUCUGAUGUGAAAGCCUUCGGCUUAACCGGAGAAGUGCAUCGGAAACUGGGAGACUUGAGUGCAGAAGAGGACAGUGGAACUCCAUGUGUAGCGGUGGAAUGCGUAGAUAUAUGGAAGAACACCAGUGGCGAAGGCGGCUGUCUAGUCUGUAACUGACGCUGAGGCUCGAAAGCAUGGGUAGCGAACAGGAUUAGAUACCCUGGUAGUCCAUGCCGUAAACGAUGAGUGCUAAGUGUUGGAGGGUUUCCGCCCUUCAGUGCUGCAGCUAACGCAUUAAGCACUCCGC